UAAGCAGUGAUGAGAAGCUAACAUGUAAGAAGACCCCGCUUGAGUGGGGUUCUUCAAUGAAAUAUUCUUGUUACGCUUGGCUUCUGAGCUUU
Small nucleolar RNA from Tripterygium wilfordii, 92 nucleotides. RefSeq annotates it as small nucleolar RNA R24. The record is from RefSeq and is a predicted model, not a curated record. The transcript has a single exon. NCBI's taxonomy places the organism in Eukaryota, Viridiplantae, Streptophyta, Magnoliopsida, Celastrales, Celastraceae.